RNAcentral lists this long non-coding RNA (2430 nucleotides) under Homo sapiens (human). RNAcentral's name for it is "HSALNT0029947". Lineage: Eukaryota; Metazoa; Chordata; Mammalia; Primates; Hominidae. The record is from RNAcentral.
CCUCCACUCCUCCACCCUAUAAUCCUUUUAUCACCUCCCCUCCUCACACCGGGUCCGGCUUACAGUUUCUUUCCGUGACUAGCCCUCCCCCACCUGCCCAGCAAUUUCCUUUUUAAAAAGUGGCUGCAGCCAAAGGCAUAGUCAAGGUUAAUGCUCCUUUUUCUUUAUCCGACCUCUCCCAAAUCAGUUAGCGUUUAGGCUCUUUCAUCAAAUAUAAAAACCCAGCCCAGUUCACGGCUCAUUUGGCAGCAGCCCUGAGACGCUUUACAGCCCUAGACCCUGAAAGGUCAAAAGGCCGUCUUAUUCUCAAUAUACAUUUUAUUACCCAAUCUGCUCCCAACAUUAAAUAAAACUCCAAAAAUUAAAUUCCGGCCCUCAAACCCCACAACAGGACUUAAUUAACCUCACCUUCAAGGUGUACAAUAAUAGAGUAGAGGCAGCCAAGUAGCAACAUAUUUCUGAGUUGCAAUUCCUUGCCUCCACCGUGAGACAAACCCCAGCCACAUCUCCAGCACACAACUUCCAAACGCCUAAACCGCAGCGGCCAGGCGUUCCUCCAGAAACGCCUUCCCCAGGAGCUUGCUACAAGUGCCAGAAGUCUGGCCACCAGGCCAAGGAAUGCCCGCAGCCCGGGAUUCCUCCUAAGCCAUGUCCCAUCUGUGCGGGACCCCACUGGAAAUCGGACUGUUCAACUCACCUGGCAGCCACUCCCAGAGCCCCUGGAACUCUGGCCCAAGGCUCUCAGACUGAGUCCUUCCCAGAUCUUCUCGGCUUAGAGACUGAAGACUGACGCUGCCCAAUCUCCUCGGAAGCCCCGUAGACCAUCACAGACGCCGAGCUUUAUUAAUAUAAGAAGACAGGAAUGUCAGGCCUCUGAGCCCAAGCUAAGCCAUCAUAUCCCCUGUGACCUGCAGGUACACAUCCAGAUGGCCAGUUCCUGCCUUAACUGAUGACAUUCCACCACAUAAGAAGUGAAAAUGGCCUGUUCCUGCCUUAACUGAUGACAUUAUCUUGUGAAAUUCCUUCUGGCCCAUCCUGGCUCAAAAGCUCCCCUACUGAGCACCUUGUGACCCCCACUCCUGCCCGCCAGAGAACAAAUCCCCUUUGACUGUAAUUUUCCUUUACCCAAAUCCUAUAAAUUGGCCCCAUCCCUAUCUCCCUUCCCUGACUCUCUUUUCGGACUCAGCCCACCUGCACCCAGGUGAAAUAAACAGCCUUGUUGCUCACACAAAGCCUGUUUGGUGGUCUCUUCACAUGGACGUGCAUGAAACUGCUGGCACCUUAUUUUGAACUUUCUAGUCUCCAGACUGUGAGAAAUAAAUGUGUGUUAUUUAGGCCCCCCAGUCUAUGGUAUUUUGUUUUAGCAACCUGAGGUAUCACUGAUAAUUUUAUAGAAAAUACAUUUACGAAAAACUAUUUUUAUCUAAAAAGCAGAGUAGAGAGGGAGUGAUAACAGAUAACUAAGAAGAUUGCGUAAAUGGUGGAGUUGAUAAUCCUAUAAUAAACCAUUGGAUUGAUAAACUGCUGCUAUGAUCAAGAAGCAUGAUUCUGCACUCUGAACAUGAAGACACUGAGAAUAUGUGAGAGGCUGAGAAAGAACAGAUGCCACAGAGACAAUGGGAAGACAAAGAAAUUUUGGAUACACAACAGUUUCCCUAGUGAAGUCAUUUCUCAUAGUGUUUUGCACAACUUUGCUUCUCCGCUCUAGGACAGAAUCAACCCAAGUGUUUUAUAGCCCAGCUGGCUGGGUGAGGGCAGGCAGACUCAGACAGCCAAGGACUUCUCAACAUUUGAUUUGUGGCUGUAAGUCUAGCUCGGUCCUGAGAUUAAGUGUGAGGAUCCAAAAAGAUGCAAUCUCAAGAAAAAAAAGAGACAGAUUUAAAGGUUUUUUCAUCACUUGCUAUUCUGAUUUAAAAUUUCAUACUUUAUCCAAAAGUAAUUUUGUUUCCAGAAGUUUGAAGCAAAUUUGAAUGAAAAUUACUCUUUUUAAAUGUUCCUCGGUUCCAUUCACUCUCUUUAGUUAUGUAGCUGAAUAUUUGUUUUGUAAUCAUUUAUCACUUUAAUAGGAAAGGCCUGAAGGGGAAAAAAGGAGUGCUUGUUAGGAUAUAUUUUAUUUAUUGUAAGAGGUUCUAGCCCCUCGGUCCCAGAAAUUGUCUCUUUAGCUCAUUCUCCUAAGUCAUACUUAAUUUACUUCAGAAGCAAUGCAUAUUUUGUGUCACAUAGUCUAUUUAGCAGAGUUGGGUUUUUUAUUACCGAAACUAUUUAUUCUGUGAUAUAUACUCGUGCACAAAAUUUGAAGGACUCCUCUUAUUGUAUAGUGUUCUCUAUUCCAUCUGUCAUUCAUAAUAAAUUUCUUAAAAAUCAAAUACAAUUUAGAUGUUUAUUUUUUAAAGAAUUAUUAUUUUAUAUCCAAAUAAAGAUAAAUAUAAA